This 251-nucleotide ribosomal RNA is filed under the name uncultured bacterium. RNAcentral's name for it is "partial 16S ribosomal RNA". It matches the Rfam family "Bacterial small subunit ribosomal RNA", at positions 337 to 604 of the family's 1533-position model. The record is from RNAcentral.
ACCUACGGGGGGCAGCAGUGGGGGAUAUUGCACAAUGGGGGGAACCCUGAUGCAGCGACGCCGCGUGGGUGAAGAAGUAUUUCGGUAUGUAAAGCCCUAUCGGCAGGGAAGAAAUUGGACGGUACCUGACUAAGAAGCCCUGGCUAACUACGUGCCAGCAGCCGCGGUAAUACGUAGGGGGCAAGCGUUAUCCGGAUUUACUGGGUGUAAAGGGAGCGUGGACGGCCAGACAAGUCUGAAGUGAAAAUCCA